GAUGAAGAACGCAGCGAAAUGCGAUAAGUAAUGUGAAUUGCAGAAUUCAGUGAAUCAUCGAAUCUUUGAACGCACCUUGCACCCUUUGGCAUUUUGAAGGGUAUGCUCGUUUGAGUGUCAUUGUACUCUCACACUCCCGAUCUUUGCAUUGGGAGCAGUGGACUUGGGUUUGCUGCUUCACCGUCGCUUACCUCAAAUAGGUUAGUGCAACUCUUGGUUGGACAUAGUACGGCGUGAUAAGUGUUCUUCGCCGGUGCCUCGCAAAGAGGGUGGCCGAUCGGGAUGUUGUGCUCCAAACCGUCUUCGGACAAUCUCUGACGACUUGACCUCAAAUCGAGUAAGACUACCCGCUGAACUUAAGCAUAUCAAUAAGCGGAGGA
This 380-nucleotide unclassified non-coding RNA is filed under the name soil metagenome. Its description in RNAcentral is "partial contains 5.8S ribosomal RNA, internal transcribed spacer 2, and large subunit ribosomal RNA". The stretch from base 1 to 120 matches the Rfam family "5.8S ribosomal RNA", at positions 35 to 154 of the family's 154-position model. The record is from RNAcentral.